GUCGAGCGGAUGAAAGGAGCUUGUCUKKGGAUUCAGCGGCGGACGGGUGAGUAAUGCCUAGGAAUCUGCCUGGUAGUGGGGGACAACGUUUCGAAAGGAACGCUAAUACCGCAUACGUCCUACGGGAGAAAGCAGGGGACCUUCGGGCCUUGCGCUAUCAGAUGAGCCUAGGUCGGAUUAGCUAGUUGGUGAGGUAAUGGCUCACCARGGCGACGAUCCGUAACUGGUCUGAGAGGAUGAUCAGUCACACUGGAACUGAGACACGGUCCAGACUCCUACGGGAGGCAGCAGUGGGGAAUAUUGGACAAUGGGCGAAAGC
This 319-nucleotide ribosomal RNA is filed under the name Pseudomonas fluorescens. Its description in RNAcentral is "bacterial SSU rRNA". It matches the Rfam family "Bacterial small subunit ribosomal RNA", at positions 61 to 382 of the family's 1533-position model. Lineage: Bacteria; Pseudomonadati; Pseudomonadota; Gammaproteobacteria; Pseudomonadales; Pseudomonadaceae. The record is from RNAcentral.